CCUACGGGGGGCAGCAGUGAGGAAUAUUGGUCAAUGGGCGCGAGCCUGAACCAGCCAAGUCGCGUGAGGGAAGACGGUCCUAUGGAUUGUAAACCUCUUUUGUCGGGGAGCAAAAGACGCCACGCGUGGCGUUCCGAGAGUACCCGAAGAAAAAGCAUCGGCUAACUCCGGGCCAGCAGCCGCGGUAAUACGGAGGAUGCGAGCGUUAGCCGGAUUUAUUGGGUUUAAGGGGUGCGCAGGCGGAAGAUCAAGUCAGCGGUAAAAUUGAGAGGCUCAACCUCUUCGAGCCGUUGAAACUGGUUGUCUUGAGUGAGUGAGAAGUAUGCGGAAUGCGAGGUGUAGCGGUGAAAUGCAUAGAUAUCACGCAGAACUCCGAUUGCGAAGGCAGCAUACCGGCGCUCAACUGACGCUCAUGCACGAAAGUGUGGGUAUCGAACAGGAUUAGAUACCCGGGUAGUC
RNAcentral lists this ribosomal RNA (459 nucleotides) under uncultured bacterium. RNAcentral's name for it is "partial 16S ribosomal RNA". It matches the Rfam family "Bacterial small subunit ribosomal RNA", at positions 338 to 795 of the family's 1533-position model. The record is from RNAcentral.